Molecule: ribosomal RNA, 253 nt
Filed under: uncultured bacterium
Lineage: Bacteria
Description: partial 16S ribosomal RNA
Rfam family: Bacterial small subunit ribosomal RNA
Source: RNAcentral
UACGGAGGGGGCUAGCGUUGUUCGGAAUUACUGGGCGUAAAGCGCACGUAGGCGGCUUUGCAAGUCCCAUGUGAAAGCCCACGGCUUAACCGUGGAAGUGCAUGGGAAACUGCAGAGCUUGAGUACUUAAGAGGAUCGCGGAAUUCCCGGUGUAGAGGUGAAAUUCGUAGAUAUCGGGAGGAACACCAGUGGCGAAGGCGGCGAUCUGGGAAGAUACUGACGCUGAGGUGCGAAAGCGUGGGGAGCAAACAGG